UCUUCGGAUGCUGACGAGUGGCGAACGGGUGAGUAAUACAUCGGAACGUGCCCGAGAGUGGGGGAUAACGAAGCGAAAGCUUUGCUAAUACCGCAUACGAUCUCAGGAUGAAAGCAGGGGACCGCAAGGCCUUGCGCUCACGGAGCGGCCGAUGGCAGAUUAGGUAGUUGGUGGGAUAAAAGCUUACCAAGCCGACGAUCUGUAGCUGGUCUGAGAGGACGACCAGCCACACUGGGACUGAGACACGGCCCAGACUCCUACGGGAGGCAGCAGUGGGGAAUUUUGGACAAUGGGCGCAAGCCUGAUCCAGCCACGCCGCGUGCAGGAUGAAGGCCUUCGGGUUGUAAACUGCUUUUGUACGGAACGAAAAGACUCUGGUUAAUACCUGGGGUCCAUGACGGUACCGUAAGAAUAAGCACCGGCUAACUACGUGCCAGCAGCCGCGGUAAUACGUAGGGUGCGAGCGUUAAUCGGAAUUACUGGGCGUAAAGCGUGCGCAGGCGGUUAUGUAAGACAGAUGUGAAAUCCCCGGGCUCAACCUGGGAACUGCAUUUGUGACUGCAUAGCUAGAGUACGGCAGAGGGGGAUGGAAUUCCGCGUGUAGCAGUGAAAUGCGUAGAUAUGCGGAGGAACACCGAUGGCGAAGGCAAUCCCCUGGGCCUGUACUGACGCUCAUGCACGAAAGCGUGGGGAGCAAACAGG
RNAcentral lists this ribosomal RNA (702 nucleotides) under uncultured beta proteobacterium. RNAcentral describes it as "bacterial SSU rRNA". It matches the Rfam family "Bacterial small subunit ribosomal RNA", at positions 77 to 776 of the family's 1533-position model. Lineage: Bacteria; Pseudomonadati; Pseudomonadota; Betaproteobacteria. The record is from RNAcentral.